Molecule: non-coding RNA, 498 nt
Organism: Chelonia mydas (Green sea turtle)
Lineage: Eukaryota; Metazoa; Chordata; Testudines; Cheloniidae
Source: the annotation of a RefSeq genome assembly
UGUAGUUAUAAACCUCUGCUGCAGUUUAAUAAUAUUGAGCAGUGCCACAAAUAAAGAAGCAAGAUGAUUUUACAAAUGCAUUUGAUCUGGCUCCUCUUUUCUGUGUUUGAAGAAUCCAGUGGGCAGAUUGUUAUCACUCAGACACCUGCUUCUGUGACGGUGCUUCCAGGAGAGACGGUCACCAUUCAGUGCAAGGCAUCCAGCUCCAUGAGUAAUGAUAUGAGCUUAUACCAGUUUAAAUCGGGACAAAAUCCCAAGCUCCUCAUCUAUGAUGUAACCAGCCGGCAAACUGGGGUCCCCGAUCGGUUCAGUGGUAGAUACAGCGGCACUGACUUCACAUUCACCAUUACUGGCGUGCAUGUGGAAGAUGCAGGAGAAUACUAUUGUGGACAAGACUACAGCCGUCCUCUCACGGUGAUACAGUUCAAUACUAAAACCUGUUCAGAGCCCCAGCAAACACAUGGUGAAGCAGAAGGAAGUGGUGGUGGCUGUUUCUAA